AAAAAAAAAAAAUAUUUUUUUUAUAUCUAUUUUCAUUUGUGCCAUCACAAGGGAGAAGUAAUCAACCCGUGGGUAUCACAAGGGAAGGUGGGUAUCACAAGGGAAGGUGGUGAUCAGCCUCUUUCUCAAAUCCUCCGAUUAGCUCGAAGUUGAGAUCUUUCUUAAGCUGGCUCAAAAAGAUAGGCCUCACCAAAAGAACCUUCACUCACUCGUAUAUCCGCUUUCUUUUUAGAAGCGUAGGAAAUAUGAUGAUGGAUCCGAUGAGGAAGAGCAUGGACAGAGUUUUAAAAUCAUAAAGAUCCUUGACUGACUUGAGAUCCCCAAGAGCAAGGCCAGCCCUGACAGUAAUAUAGGAGGCUGGUAUAAGUCCAAGCAAAGUCGCCAAAAAGAAAACAUGAAAUGGUAUGUCAACAAUUGGAGAUGCCAAAUUGAUGAAAAGGUUGGGCAACGUUGGAGUUACUCUCAAAAAGAGCAUGUAAUUAAGCAGCUUUUCCUUACGCUUAGCUAUCUCAGCCUGAAAAACCCUCAACUUCUCAG
RNAcentral lists this unclassified non-coding RNA (537 nucleotides) under Hevea brasiliensis (rubber tree). Lineage: Eukaryota; Viridiplantae; Streptophyta; Magnoliopsida; Malpighiales; Euphorbiaceae. The record is from RNAcentral.